UCCCGAACACGGAAGUUAAGCUCUUUUGCGCUGAUGGUAGUUGGGGGUCUCCCCCUGUGAGAGUAAGACGUCGCUGGGC
RNAcentral lists this ribosomal RNA (79 nucleotides) under Planococcus wigleyi. The record is from RNAcentral. Lineage: Bacteria; Bacillati; Bacillota; Bacilli; Caryophanales; Caryophanaceae.